CCAGACUCCUACGGGAGGCAGCAGUGGGGGAUAUUGCACAAUGGGGGAAACCCUGAUGCAGCGACGCCGCGUGGGUGAAGGAGCGUUUCGGCGCGUAAAGCCCUAUCGGCAGGGAAGAAGGAGGACGGUACCUGACUAAGAAGCCCCGGCUAACUACGUGCCAGCAGCCGCGGUAAUACGUAGGGGGCGAGCGUUAUCCGGAUUUACUGGGUGUAAAGGGAGCGCAGACGGCAGUGCAAGUCUGGAGUGAAAGCCCGGGGCCCAACCCCGGAACUGCUCUGGAAACUGUGCGGCUAGAGUACUGGAGGGGCAGGCGGAAUUCCUGGUGUAGCGGUGAAAUGCGUAGAUAUCAGGAGGAACACCGGCGGCGAAGGCGGCCUGCUGGACCGCGACUGACGUUGAGGCUCGAAAGCGUGGGGAGCGAACAGGAUUAGAUACCCCAAUACA
Molecule: ribosomal RNA, 447 nt
Filed under: uncultured bacterium
Lineage: Bacteria
Description: partial 16S ribosomal RNA
Rfam family: Bacterial small subunit ribosomal RNA
Source: RNAcentral